RNAcentral lists this long non-coding RNA (1305 nucleotides) under Sus scrofa (pig). RNAcentral's name for it is "lncRNA (ENSSSCG00060076642.1)". Lineage: Eukaryota; Metazoa; Chordata; Mammalia; Artiodactyla; Suidae. The record is from RNAcentral.
AGUCUUUGAGCCAUUUUGAGUUUAUUUUGUGUAUGGUAUGAGGGUGUGUUCCAGUUUCAUUAAUUUAUAUGCGGCUGUCCGGUUUUCCCAGCACAACUUGCUGAAAAGACCAUCUUUCUCCCAUUUUAUAUUCUCACCUCCUUUGUCAAAGAUUAACUGACCAUAGAUGUCUGGAUUCUCUAUUCUGUUCCAUUGGUCUGUAUGUCUGUUUUGGAACCACUACUACGCUGUCUUGAUUGCUGAGGCUUUGUAAUAUUGCUUGAAGUAUGGGAGAGUUAUGCUUCCUGCUUGGUUUUUGUUCCUCAGGAUUGCUUUGACAAUUCUGGGUCUUUUAUGGUACUAUAUUAAAUUUUGGAUUGUUUGUUCUAGUUCUAUGGAAAAUGUCAUGAGUAAUUUGAUAGGGAUUUAUUGAAUCUGUAGAUUGUUUUGGGUAGUAUGGUCAUUUUUAUGAUAUUAAUUUUUCCAACCCAGGAGCAUGGAUUAUCUUUCCACUUCUUUGAAUCCUCUUUAAUUUCCUUGAUGAAUGUUUUAUAGUUCUCAGUAUACAGGUCUUUCACCUCCUUCCUCAGGUUUAUUCCCAGGCUAGGGGUUGAAUCGGAGCUGUAGCCACCGGCCUACGCCAGAGCCACAGCAACACGGGAUCCGAGCCGCGUCUGCAACCUACACCACAGCUCACGGCAACGCCAGAUCCUUAACCCACUGAGCAAGGGCAGGGACCGAACCCGCAACCUCAUGGUUCCUAGUCGGAUUCGUUAACCACUGCGCCACGAUGGGAACUCCUAUAUUAUCUUUUUAAUAUGUUGUUGGAUUCAGCUGGCUAAAAAUUUGUUGAGAAUUUUUGCAUCUGUAUUUAUCAAAGAUAUUGGCCUAUAGUUUUAUUUUUUGGUAGUAUCUUUGUCUGGUUUUGGUAUUAGGGUGAUGGUGGCUUCAUAGAAUCUUUUUGGGAGUGUUUCUUCUGCUUCAACCUUUUGGAAAAGUUUAAGAAGAAUGGAUAUAAUUUCCUCUUUGUAUGUUUGGUAGAAUUCACCUGUGAAACCAUCUGCUCCUGGAGUUUUGUUUGUAGGGAGGGCUUUUAUUACAUAUUCAAUUUCAUUUCUGGUAAUCAGUCUGUUCAGUUGAUCUAUUUCUUCUUGAUUCAGUUUUGGCAGGCUGUAAGUAGCUAGAAAGUUGUCCAUUUCUUCUAGGUUGUCAAAUUUGUUGGAUUAUAAUUGUUCAUGGUAUUCUUUUAUGGUUUUUGCAUUUCUGCAGUAUACAUUGUGACUUCUCCUUUUUCAUUUCUUAUUUUGUUUAUUUGGGUUUUUUCUU